This is a long non-coding RNA of Oncorhynchus keta (chum salmon), 1299 nucleotides long. RefSeq lists it as uncharacterized. Lineage: Eukaryota; Metazoa; Chordata; Actinopteri; Salmoniformes; Salmonidae. The record is from RefSeq and is a predicted model, not a curated record. The transcript is spliced from 5 exons.
UACUGACUGGUAGGUGGAGGGGUGCCCAAUAUCAUACUGACUGGUAGGUGGAGGGGUGCCCAAUAUCAUACUGACUGGUAGGUGGAGGGGUGCCCAAUAUCAUACUGACUGGUAGAUGGAGGGGUGCCCAAUAUCAUACUGACUGGUAGAUGGAGGGGUGCCCAAUAUCAUACUGACUGGUAGGUGGAGGGGUGCCCAAUAUCAUACUGACUGGUAGGUGGAGGGGUGCCCAAUAUCAUACUGACUGGUAGGUGGAGGGGUGCCCAAUAUCAUACUGACUGGUAGGUGGAGGGGUGCCCAAUAUCAUACUGACUGGUAGAUGGAGGGGUGCCCAAUAUCAUACUGACUGGUAGGUGGAGGGGUGCCCAAUAUCAUACUGACUGGUAGGUGGAGGGGUGCCCAAUAUCAUACUGACUGGUAGAUGGAGGGGUGCCCAAUAUCAUACUGACUGGUAGAUGGAGGGGUGCCCAAUAUCAUACUGACUGGUAGAUGGAGGGGUGCCCAAUAUCAUACUGACUGGUAGGUGGAGGGGUGCCCAAUAUCAUACUGACUGGUAGGUGGAGGGGUGCCCAAUAUCAUACUGACUGGUAGGUGGAGGGGUGCCCAAUAUCAUACUGACUGGUAGAUGGAGGGGUGCCCAAUAUCAUACUGACUGGUAGAUGGAGGGGUGCCCAAUAUCAUACUGACUGGUAGGUGGAGGGGUGCCCAAUAUCAUACUGACUGGUAGGUGGAGGGGUGCCCAAUAUCAUACUGACUGGUAGAUGGAGGGGUGCCCAAUAUCAUACUGACUGGUAGAUGGAGGGGUGCCCAAUAUCAUACUGACUGGUAGGUGGAGGGGUGCCCAAUAUCAUACUGACUGGUAGAUGGAGGGGUGCCCAAUAUCAUAAUGACUGGUAGAUGGAGGGGUGCCCAAUAUCAUACUGACUGGUAGGUGGAGGGGUGCCCAAUUUCAUACUGACUGGUAGGUGGAGGGGUGUCCAAUAUCAUACUGACUGGUAGGUGGAGGGGUGCCCAAUAUCAUACUGACUGGUAGGUGGAGGGGUGCCCAAUAUCAUACUGACUGGUAGAUGGAGGGGUGUCCAAUAUCAUACUGACUAUUAGAUUGAGGGGUGUCCAAUAUCAUACUGACUAUUAGAUUGAGGGGUGCCCAAUAUCAUACUGACUAUUAGAUUGAGGGGUGCCCAAUAUCAUACUGACUGGUAGAUGGAGGGGUGCCCAAUAUCAUACUGACUAUUAGAUUGAGGGGUGUCCAAUAUCAUACUGACUAUUAGAUUGAGGGGUGUCCAAUAUCAUACUGAC